CAUUCACGGAGAGUUUGAUCCUGGCUCAGGACGAACGCUGGCGGCGUGCUUAACACAUGCAAGUCGAACGAUGAACCACCUUCGGGUGGGGAUUAGUGGCGAACGGGUGAGUAACACGUGGGCAAUCUGCCCUGCACUCUGGGACAAGCCCUGGAAACGGGGUCUAAUACCGGAUACUGACCUGCCAAGGCAUCUUGGCGGGUCGAAAGCUCCGGCGGUGCAGGAUGAGCCCGCGGCCUAUCAGCUUGUUGGUGAGGUAAUGGCUCACCAAGGCGACGACGGGUAGCCGGCCUGAGAGGGCGACCGGCCACACUGGGACUGAGACACGGCCCAGACUCCUACGGGAGGCAGCAGUGGGGAAUAUUGCACAAUGGGCGAAAGCCUGAUGCAGCGACGCCGCGUGAGGGAUGACGGCCUUCGGGUUGUAAACCUCUUUCAGCAGGGAAGAAGCGAAAGUGACGGUACCUGCAGAAGAAGCGCCGGCUAACUACGUGCCAGCAGCCGCGGUAAUACGUAGGGCGCAAGCGUUGUCCGGAAUUAUUGGGCGUAAAGAGCUCGUAGGCGGCUUGUCGCGUCGGUUGUGAAAGCCCGGGGCUUAACCCCGGGUCUGCAGUCGAUACGGGCAGGCUAGAGUUCGGUAGGGGAGAUCGGAAU
RNAcentral lists this ribosomal RNA (654 nucleotides) under Streptomyces sp. SID10362. Its description in RNAcentral is "bacterial SSU rRNA". It matches the Rfam family "Bacterial small subunit ribosomal RNA", at positions 1 to 667 of the family's 1533-position model. Lineage: Bacteria; Bacillati; Actinomycetota; Actinomycetes; Kitasatosporales; Streptomycetaceae. The record is from RNAcentral.